This 956-nucleotide long non-coding RNA is filed under the name Microcebus murinus (gray mouse lemur). RNAcentral describes it as "lncRNA (ENSMICG00000048848.1)". The record is from RNAcentral. Lineage: Eukaryota; Metazoa; Chordata; Mammalia; Primates; Cheirogaleidae.
GCUCAGGCUGGUCUUGAACUCCUGACCUUGAGCGAUCCUCCCACCUCGGCCUCCCAGAGUGCUAGGAUUACAGGCAUGAGCCACCACGCCCGGCCCCAUUUCCUAUUCUUGAGGCAGGAUUUUUUUAACUUCCCACUUGUCGAAGGAGAGUGGAGCACCUUUGUCAAAUCCUCACGUUCCCCCAAAUCUCUCUGCAACGUCUACUUACACGGGCGCUGAGCCCGGGCCUGGCUUCGGAAGCGGGUGGGAAACAUGGGCGUCACUAAUUCGUGGCCUCAGAGACCUUUCUUUGACAGGUUAUUGACCCUGUGAAUACGUUGGCACCAAACAGCCAAUGACCCAACAGCUGCCGCUCACAGAAUCGUGACUUUCAUUGUCAGCAAAGUCACUCUGGCAUGCCCUCCGAUAUUUUAUCACAUGGAGACGCCAGGGGCCACCUCUCCAGCCCGUAGCCAAGACUCUGGGAGCUCCGGGGGCAGGUCUCUGAGGAUGCCCCAGGACCAGCGCUGGUGGCAGGCCGCAUGCACUUACCUUCCUGUCCCUGGAGAAGUGAGGACCUGGCCCUGUCACCAACAGCAGCGGGCGAGCAGGUUUGACAGGCACGUCCCACAGUAGCAGCGCCUUAUACGCCACCACGGAAGCGCAGUCGUCCCCACGGCCAUGCGGGAUCCCGGGAACCUUUGUCCGAGCCUCUGGCCGACCCCCAGCAGGUGGGGCCUGAGGGGAUGGCUUCAGAGACGGGGUCUUGCUCUGUCACCCAGGCUGGAGUGCAGUGGCCGAUCACAGAUCCCCAGCUCAAGCGAUCCUCCUGCCUCAACCUCCCGAGUAGCUGGGACCACAGGUGUGGGCCAGCAGGCUUGUCGGUUUUGACGCCAAACCACCAUGAUGCCGCCCCCCAGCUUCCCCAGCUUGUGCCUGCGCCCCCAGAGGCUCACCCCAGACGCCCAGGUAUUGAU